This 253-nucleotide ribosomal RNA is filed under the name uncultured microorganism. RNAcentral describes it as "partial 16S ribosomal RNA". It matches the Rfam family "Bacterial small subunit ribosomal RNA", at positions 524 to 776 of the family's 1533-position model. The record is from RNAcentral.
UACGUAGGGUGCGAGCGUUAAUCGGAUUUACUGGGCGUAAAGCGUGCGCAGGCGGCCCGUUAAGACAGGUGUGAAAUCCCUGGGCUCAACCUAGGAAUUGCGCUUGUGACUGGCGGGCUCGAGUACGGUAGAGGGGGGUGGAAUUUCCUGUGUAGCGGUGAAAUGCGUAGAUAUAGGAAGGAACACCAGUGGCGAAGGCGACCACCUGGGCCUGUACUGACGCUCAUGCACGAAAGCGUGGGGAGCAAACAGG